GUAGGGUGGGGGCACCCUCAGCCCUGUGGGAGCACCCUGGAGCGAGCAGGGGCCUGGAGCCUGGGCCCUGGGCCUGGGUCCCAGCCCUGCCUCAUUCUUGCUGAGUGACCAGGGACACUUCACUCCCUGUCUCUGGAAACAGCUUCUUUGCUAGUGGCCACGCCCACCGCAGGAAUGCUGCAAAUGUCAGAACCGGGCAGAUGAUCCUCCCCAGCUUCCUGUCUCAGGGCCCUGGGCACUGUCUGGUGCCAGCUGCCCCCUCGACCCUGGAACCCGAACACAGAUCAGACUGCAGAGCCGACACUCAGCCACUUCCCCCGAGCAGGAACUCCACAGCUGCAUUUAUUUGGCACCGUCUUGGCAGGCCACAGGCAGAGCGGUUUCUGUGCUUGGCCUGCUGAUUCUUAUGACGGCCCUCUGAGUAAGUACUGCUCUUCAGACCCCACUUCACAGAGAGGAAACUGCGGCUCAGAGAGGGUGAGUCACUUGCCCAAGGUCACAGAGCUGGCUUGUGGCAGAGCUGGGACUUGAGUCAGGCCCAGGUGACUCAGGGAGAUGGCUGGUCCUCCCUGCUUUGUGCUGCCUCCUAAAUGCCCAGCCUGCUGCUCCACAGUAGGAGCAGCCCAGCUGUCCACCAGUGGUGAAAGGGACAGAUGCCCCGUGGUGUGUCCACCCGGUGGGCUCACCCAGCGAUGGAAUCUGAUGCGCUAUCUCUAUGGAGGUCUGUCACAGACAUGUUGGGAACAAAGAAGCUGGUCACUAAAAGUACCUGCUGCGAGGUUCUGUUGACCCGACAUCCAGGAAGAGGCCCAGCAAGCCCCGGCUCAGUGGGCAGAGGCUGGUGCCUUCUGAGAGUGUACACAGGCUGUCACAGGAGACCCCGGAGGACUGGGGAGGCUCCAGGCCAACCUGGGUGGCCAUCGUGCUAUGUGGGUCAGCCUGGCUGGCCAUGGGCUAACCAGAGGGCUGAGAAUCCUCGAUGGGUGUGUCGGAGAGGGUGUGGCUCACAAGACUGCCACCUGACCGUGGGCUGAGCUGAGCAGAGACCCUCCCCAUCCUCUCAAGCCCCAAGUGGAACAGAAAGUGUCACUUGUGACUGCCUGGGCCAGCCUGGACCUCCUCCUGCCCUCUGACCCUGCUCUCAGGCCUCGGGCCUCCACUGGCAUCCCCACCACAGGCCCUCCUGGGGCUGCAGCCUGCAGACAGCUGGUCCUGGGACUUCCCAGCCUCCAGAACCCAAGAGCAAUUCCUUACUGUCCAUGCGUCUGUCUCCCAUCAUGCUGCUUCUCUGGGGAGGUUGACUGCCAGCCGGGGCGCAUGGGUGCCCACAGACGCAAAACACACCUAGGCUCCUGCUCCAGGCGCCCUCGCAGCCCACCCACCGCCUCCGGCCUCACGACGUCUCUAUGUUCUGGACAAAAUGCUGAUUGUGUGUCUGACACAUUAACACCUUUCCCCCUUAAGAGCAAGGCAGAGGUAGAGCCGCCCACCUGCUAGAGUCUAGCUGGUCAGCCCUGUGCCGGCCACCCUGACCAUUGCAAUAAGACAAGAAAAAGGGAAGAAAGGUGUAAGUGAGCUCAGAAGUGAAGAAGGAAGCAUUAAGACUGGGCUUGUUACGAUGACUCACACAGAAAGUCCCGGGAAACCCACAAAGCAACCAGCAAGGUCACAGGAUACUCAAGAGGCGUCCAGACCCAUUCAUCUUCUCACACAAACAGCUGCAGAAUGAAAAACGUUGGGUGUCCCAUGCAGAGCCCCCCAAACCAAGAUCCAAUACUUGGGGACAGUCCAAUAAAAGUGUCGUGUUCACAGGUUGAACACUCAGUAUUAAGAUGGCCAUGGCUAGCUGAUCCUCAAUUUUAUUUAGACAUGUG
Molecule: long non-coding RNA, 1874 nt
Filed under: Marmota monax (woodchuck)
Lineage: Eukaryota; Metazoa; Chordata; Mammalia; Rodentia; Sciuridae
Source: RNAcentral